RNAcentral lists this long non-coding RNA (791 nucleotides) under Vigna radiata. RNAcentral describes it as "long non-coding RNA (VRAD_LNC006475)". The record is from RNAcentral. Lineage: Eukaryota; Viridiplantae; Streptophyta; Magnoliopsida; Fabales; Fabaceae.
AGUUCACCAUGACAAUGGUGAACUAAACCCUUUUGUUGUUGGGGGAAACAAUGUAAUCUUUUGAAACUCUCUUUUAUUGAAACUCUUGUUUAUUUAUAUGAUUCUUCAUAUGCUUUGAUUGUCAAUGGUUGGUUUCUCAUCUGCGCUUAAUGCUUUUAUCGUUUAACUCAUUCGAUAAUUGUUGUUUGUCUUUAUUGAUACGGGAACGUACAGUACUGUCAUGAACUGAUGAGAAAUUCCUUGGUUAAGCAAUACCAACUUACGGAUAGGGGGUAGGACGAUCACUUGUUUUUGCUUUUGUUCUUAAUGUGUUAUAAAUUGCUAGGGGAGGCUAGGGAUAGCAAGCCGGUAAUUAGUAAGAGGCUCUUUUCGCCGAGGGAUCGGGUUAAGGGUAGGCCAAGAAAGUUUGCAUAACAAUUAGAUAAUCAAGCACAUUAAACAAGAGGAGUAGACAAGAGGGAGCGGAUAAGAUGAAAUUGUCAACCCCCAACAACUCCAUUCAUCCAUAGUCUUUUUCGUCAAUUGAAUCAAAUACAUUGCAUGUUUAUUUUCUGUCUUUGCAUUCACAACAAUUAAUCUUUUUUCUACAAGUCUUACAAUUUUAAUUCACACGAACGAUAAGGCCUUUCGAGUCUCUUGGGAAGAACGAUAUCGGGCAUUACCGAUUAUAUUACUUGAACGAUCUGGUACACUUGCCAAUGAGUCAACAGUCCUAUUCCUCUUCCUAGGUAAUAUUGCACAAUCAAGAGAAUUACCAUCCUGUCUAGAUUUUCCCGUAUGAGUCCAUAUCG